GAAAAGCCCGAAAUCAAAAUGAAGCUUGCUAAACCCAGAUGUCCGACCUUAUGCUUAUGAUUGUGUGUGUGCGUUUACGGCGGGCUGGCUGUUCGUGGGAGGUAUGAUGGUGCUGAAGGGUGGUUUAGUCACUGGUUUCCAGGUGGUUGAUGACAAUGAAGGGUUGUUGCUGGGCGUCACUGGCAGCGGAGGAGUUGAAACAGCAGCUGGUGGCGUGGGGGGACUCGUUUUUAGCUUCCCAUGGUUGCUUCUUUUCUUGUGAAGAAGAUGGA
This 272-nucleotide long non-coding RNA is filed under the name Nicotiana benthamiana. RNAcentral describes it as "long non-coding RNA (NBEN_LNC030042)". Lineage: Eukaryota; Viridiplantae; Streptophyta; Magnoliopsida; Solanales; Solanaceae. The record is from RNAcentral.